Molecule: long non-coding RNA, 1647 nt
Organism: Dunckerocampus dactyliophorus (ringed pipefish)
Lineage: Eukaryota; Metazoa; Chordata; Actinopteri; Syngnathiformes; Syngnathidae
Exons: 9
Source: RefSeq, a predicted model, not a curated record
AAUGAUGAUACAUCGCGUGAGGCGCAGGACAAAAUGUCAACAACCUGCCCAGGGCUGCUGAGAGAAGCAGCGAAUUUGAUUGAAGAAGCUCUGAGCAGAACUCCUCCGGCUCCGGCGGCUCAGUCACAGCAAAUACCUGCUGCUCCAUCACGUAACGUUACACCUGUCCAAGGGAGUGACAACGAUCCCAUGGUUAUAACAAAUAAACUGGAAGUGUUUCCGAAGCUCAAAGAAGGGGAAGGCUUAGAAUUUCUAAAAAUUGCAGGAUCUACUCGUAGUCGAAAUCUUGUGUUGCUUCCGUGUCCCAGCACUGGAUGCACCAUUGCCUAUCUGAAAGAUCCAUCGACGAUGAUUGGACAGGCUACAAUCUACAUACGUCCACUUCAACAGGAUCUACCCAUAGAUUGUGAGAGCUCACAAACUGCAUCUGGUCCAGUCAUCCCCUGCAUCACCUGUCAAGAGGAAGUUCUCUUUUCAGAGAUGAAGCUGCACAGAUUGAGCUGCAAUGGGACACCGAUGCAGGAAUCAGAAAGAGAACAAGAGGGAGGCCGAAGUGAAGAAAAUGAUAGAGAGACAGCCCCAGUCAGUGACAGUGUUCCAGUGAGGCCUGGAACAUCAGCUGAGAGUGCACUUGUACCAACAGUGAUUGACGAGGACUUGGAUCACAAAGAAACAGACAAUGAAUGGAAGCUUAUAAAAGAACCAGCUCAAGCUGCCAAAGUUUUCAAAGAGAAUCUGCUGUGGGAACAUGCAUCUGGAAAACCAUUGAGAAUGAAAAUGGACGUAAGGGACUCUGAAGAGGACAGGGAACGGGAACUUCUCAUUCUAUAAACAGCCGCAAGAAUGGGCAUGUCCACUUCACUGUACUCUUCUUGGUGAUGCUGUCGGAGAGGGAGUGAUGCGGUACUUUAUGACAACAAUAACAUCCAAACUGCAGUUUGGAUUCAGUCUAGAUCUUGGAGGAAUGGGCCGAACACUGCUUUUUGAGGGUGAACCUGACCAUCUUGUUCCAGCAGCAUCAGAGGUGCUUAUUGAAAGCGACCUCUUCCGGGUUGCCGGAAGGAUAUUGGCCCACAGUUUCCUGCAUGAUGGCCCCCGUGUCACAGGAUUAAGUCCUGCUGUAGUUCAUGUACUGUUCAAUGGGGACCCUGAAACAGCAACUGUUGUUACAGAAGACUGUCCUGAUCUGCACAUCAGGAGUAUCAUAAAACUGCUUGAACAUGAAGAACUUACGCCAGAACAGAAGCACACAGUUUCAGAUCUUUCCCUGUCUUGGGAUCUCCCGGCAGUCAACAAAACAAAUCGAAGAUGGCUACAUAACAAACUUCUACUGCUACAAACUUCGCGCGCCAAACUGUGUUUUAAGGAAGCGCAUCUGUCAAUAGGAUGGAAGCGCAAAGCUUACCAUCGAGUUAUUGACGCGUUCAUUGCUUGGCGAAUAAAAGAUGGAGGACCUCCAUGGAAAACGGACAUUUUCUGCCGCGUGGGAUCAUUUUGACCUUCUGCCGGAAAAUAAGGUAAAAUGUCGCAUUUGUGCGGCAGUUUCUAUGUACACCAGCAUCUUCUGUGCCUUGCGAACGCAUAUUCUCCAAAGCAGGAGAAAUUGCGUCAAAGAAACGAAAUAGACUGAAUUACAAAACACUGGAG